GUCAGUUGGAAGAGUCUGCAGAGUAAAUAUGGGAGUUUCUUCAUUUCCAGACACUCUUCUUUCCACUUCCUGUGGUUCUUUUGCAGCUUGUUUUGCAGCCUGAUCAGCUAGAUGGUUGCCCUUUGCUUCAUCUGAGUCCAACUUCCCAUGUGCUUUUAUCUUCAAAAUAGCCACUUCUUCUGGGAGUAGGAGGGCGGCCAUCAGCUCCUUGAUUGCGGAACCGUGCUUGAUUG
Molecule: non-coding RNA, 233 nt
Organism: Pelobates cultripes (western spadefoot toad)
Lineage: Eukaryota; Metazoa; Chordata; Amphibia; Anura; Pelobatidae
Source: the annotation of a GenBank genome assembly